Molecule: ribosomal RNA, 252 nt
Filed under: uncultured bacterium
Lineage: Bacteria
Description: partial 16S ribosomal RNA
Rfam family: Bacterial small subunit ribosomal RNA
Source: RNAcentral
UACGUAGGGGGCAAGCGUUGUCCGGAAUUAUUGGGCGUAAAGCGCGCGCAGGCGGCAGUUUAAGUCUGAUGUUUAAUCCGCGGGCUCAACCCGUGUUCGCAUCGGAAACUGGGCUGCUUGAGUGCAGGAGAGGAAAGUGGAAUUCCACGUGUAGCGGUGAAAUGCGUAGAGAUGUGGAGGAACACCAGUGGCGAAGGCGACUUUCUGGCCUGUAACUGACGCUGAGGCGCGAAAGCGUGGGGAGCAAACAGG